Molecule: ribosomal RNA, 429 nt
Filed under: Pseudomonadota bacterium
Lineage: Bacteria; Pseudomonadati; Pseudomonadota
Description: Proteobacteria bacterium partial 16S ribosomal RNA
Rfam family: Bacterial small subunit ribosomal RNA
Source: RNAcentral
UGGGGAAUAUUGGACAAUGGGCGAAAGCCUGAUCCAGCCAUGCCGCGUGUGUGAAGAAGGUCUUCGGAUUGUAAAGCACUUUAAGUUGGGAGGAAGGGCAGUAAGCGAAUAUCUUGCUGUUUUGACGUUACUCGCAGAAUAAGCACCGGCUAACUCUGUGCCAGCAGCCGCGGUAAUACAGAGGGUGCGAGCGUUAAUCGGAUUUACUGGGCGUAAAGCGUGCGUAGGCGGCUAAUUGAGUCGGAUGUGAAAUCCCCGAGCUUAACUUGGGAAUUGCAUUCGAUACUGGUUAGCUAGAGUGUGGGAGAGGAUGGUAGAAUUCCAGGUGUAGCGGUGAAAUGCGUAGAGAUCUGGAGGAAUACCGAUGGCGAAGGCAGCCAUCUGGCCUAACACUGACGCUGAGGUACGAAAGCAUGGGGAGCAAACAGG